This 254-nucleotide ribosomal RNA is filed under the name uncultured bacterium. RNAcentral describes it as "partial 16S ribosomal RNA". It matches the Rfam family "Bacterial small subunit ribosomal RNA", at positions 524 to 776 of the family's 1533-position model. The record is from RNAcentral.
UACGUGGGGGGCAAGCGUUGUCCGGAUUCAUUGGGCGUAAAGAGCUCGUAGGCGGCUUGGCAAGUCGGGUGUGAAAACUCCAGGCUCAACCUGGAGACGCCACCCGAUACUGCCAUGGCUUGAGUCCGGUAGGGGACCACGGAAUUCCUGGUGUAGCGGUGAAAUGCGCAGAUAUCAGGAGGAACACCGGUGGCGAAGGCGGUGGUCUGGGCCGGUACUGACGCUGAGGAGCGAAAGUGUGGGGAGCGAACAGG